CGGGGGGGGCAAGCGUUGUUCGGAAUUACUGGGCGUAAAGGGCGCGUAGGCGGCCUGCUAAGUCGGACGUGAAAUCCCUCGGCUCAACCGGGGAACUGCGUCCGAUACUGGUGGGCUUGAAUCCGGGAGAGGGAUGUGGAAUUCCAGGUGUAGCGGUGAAAUGCGUAGAUAUCUGGAGGAACACCGGUGGCGAAGGCGGCAUCCUGGACCGGUAUUGACGCUGAUGCGCGAAAGCCAGGGGAGCAAACGGGAUUAGAUACCCCGGUAGUCCUGGCCCUAAACGAUGAGUGCUUGGUGUGGCGGGUAUCGAUCCCUGCCGUGCCGAAGCUAACGCGUUAAGCACUCCGCCUGGGGAGUACGGUCGCAAGGCUG
This 372-nucleotide ribosomal RNA is filed under the name uncultured organism. RNAcentral describes it as "bacterial SSU rRNA". It matches the Rfam family "Bacterial small subunit ribosomal RNA", at positions 526 to 896 of the family's 1533-position model. The record is from RNAcentral.